UGAUGAGGUCUUCGGAUCGUAAACUCUGUUAUUAGGGAAGAACAAAUGUGUAAGUAACUAUGCACGUCUUGACGGUACCUAAUCAGAAAGCCACGGCUAACUACGUGCCAGCAGCCGCGGUAAUACGUAGGUGGCAAGCGUUAUCCGGAAUUAUUGGGCGUAAAGCGCGCGUAGGCGGUUUUUUAAGUCUGAUGUGAAAGCCCACGGCUCAACCGUGGAGGGUCAUUGGAAACUGGAAAACUUGAGUGCAGAAGAGGAAAGUGGAAUUCCAUGUGUAGCGGUGAAAUGCGCAGAGAUAUGGAGGAACCCCAGUGGCUGCAGACGA
Molecule: ribosomal RNA, 325 nt
Filed under: Staphylococcus sp.
Lineage: Bacteria; Bacillati; Bacillota; Bacilli; Caryophanales; Staphylococcaceae
Description: bacterial SSU rRNA
Rfam family: Bacterial small subunit ribosomal RNA
Source: RNAcentral